Triticum aestivum (bread wheat) is the source of this 125-nucleotide non-coding RNA. The record is from Rfam. NCBI's taxonomy places the organism in Eukaryota, Viridiplantae, Streptophyta, Magnoliopsida, Poales, Poaceae.
UUAGUACUAACUCCGUCCGGAAAUACUUGUCAUUAAAAUGGAUACAAAUGGAUGUAUCUAGAAUAAAAAUACAUCUAGAUACAUUCAUUCCUCGGACAAGUAUUUUCGGACGGAUAGAGUAUGUU